This 499-nucleotide ribosomal RNA is filed under the name uncultured Glomeromycotina. RNAcentral describes it as "partial small subunit ribosomal RNA". It matches the Rfam family "Eukaryotic small subunit ribosomal RNA", at positions 591 to 1092 of the family's 1831-position model. The record is from RNAcentral. Lineage: Eukaryota; Fungi; Glomeromycota.
CCAAUAGCGUAUAUUAAAGUUGUUGCAGUUAAAAAGCUCGUAGUUGAAUUUCGGGGUUAGUAAGUUGGUCAUGCCUUUGGUAUGCACUGGCUUUACUGAUUCCUCCUUCUUGACGAACCGUGAUGUCAUUAAUUUGGUGUUGCGGGAAAUCAGGACCGUUACUUUGAAAAAAUUAGAGUGUUUAAAGCAGGCUAACGCUUGAAUACAUUAGCAUGGAAUAAUGAAAUAGGACGUUAAUCCUAUUUUGUUGGUUUCUAGGAUCGACGUAAUGAUUAAUAGGGAUAGUUGGGGGCAUUAGUAUUCAAUUGUCAGAGGUGAAAUUCUUGGAUUUAUUGAAGACUAACUACUGCGAAAGCAUUUGCCAAGGAUGUUUUCAUUAAUCAAGAACGAAAGUUAGGGGAUCGAAGACGAUCAGAUACCGUCGUAGUCUUAACCAUAAACUAUGCCGACUAGGGAUCGGAUGAUGUUAAUUCUUCAAUGACUCAUUCGGCGCCUUACG